Molecule: long non-coding RNA, 231 nt
Organism: Pseudophryne corroboree (corroboree frog)
Lineage: Eukaryota; Metazoa; Chordata; Amphibia; Anura; Myobatrachidae
Exons: 4
Source: RefSeq, a predicted model, not a curated record
UCUAGGUCGAAUCACGUCAAUUGGUACAUAUUCAUCUGUGAAACUGGUGAACUGAAUGAAAUGGAGGUGUCACUGGGGCUCACAGUACUGCUCCACUGUUACUGAACCUGGUGGCUCUAGGUCGAAUCACGUCAAUUGGUACAUAUUCAUGCGUGAAACUGGUGAACUGAAUAAAAUGGAGGUGUCACUGGGGCUCACAGUACUGCUUCACUGUUACUGACCAUGGUGGCU